This 77-nucleotide transfer RNA is filed under the name Planctomycetota bacterium. Its description in RNAcentral is "tRNA-Val". It matches the Rfam family "tRNA". From Rfam's summary of the family: Transfer RNA (tRNA) molecules are approximately 80 nucleotides in length. The record is from RNAcentral. Lineage: Bacteria; Pseudomonadati; Planctomycetota.
GGGCGAUUAGCUCAGUUGGUUGGAGCGCUUGCCUUACAAGCAAGAGGCCGCCGGUUCGAGUCCAGCAUCGCCCACCA